RNAcentral lists this transfer RNA (71 nucleotides) under Loxodonta africana (African savanna elephant). It matches the Rfam family "tRNA". Rfam says of the family: Transfer RNA (tRNA) molecules are approximately 80 nucleotides in length. Their secondary structure includes four short double-helical elements and three loops (D, anti-codon, and T loops). Lineage: Eukaryota; Metazoa; Chordata; Mammalia; Proboscidea; Elephantidae. The record is from Rfam by way of RNAcentral.
GCACUGAGGGUUCAGUGGUAGAAUUCUCACCUUCCAUGUAGGAGACCCAAGUCUGAUUCCUGGCCAAUGCA